GAUGAACGCUGGCGGCGUGCCUAAUACAUGCAAGUCGAGCGAACAGACGAGGAGCUUACUCCUCUGACGUUAGCGGCGGACGGGUGAGUAACGCGUGGAUAACCUACCUAUAAGACUGGGAUAACUUCGGGAAACCGGAGCUAAUGCCGGAUAACAUGUUGAACCGCAUGGUUCAACAGUGAAAGACGGUCUUGCUGUCACUUAUAGAUGGAUCCGCGUCGCAUUAGCUAGUUGGUAAGGUAACGGCUUACCAAGGCAACGAUGCGUAGCCGACCUGAGAGGGUGAUCGGCCACACUGGAACUGAGACACGGUCCAGACUCCUACGGGAGGCAGCAGUAGGGAAUCUUCCGCAAUGGGCGAAAGCCUGACGGAGCAACGCCGCGUGAGUGAAGAAGGUCUUCGGAUCGUAAAACUCUGUUAUUAGGGAAGAACAAAUGUGUAAGUAACUAUGCACGUCUUGACGGUACCUAAUCAGAAAGCCACGGCUAACUACGUG
RNAcentral lists this ribosomal RNA (497 nucleotides) under uncultured bacterium. RNAcentral describes it as "partial 16S ribosomal RNA". It matches the Rfam family "Bacterial small subunit ribosomal RNA", at positions 28 to 507 of the family's 1533-position model. The record is from RNAcentral.